RNAcentral lists this ribosomal RNA (1251 nucleotides) under Vibrio parahaemolyticus. RNAcentral describes it as "partial 23S ribosomal RNA". It matches the Rfam family "Bacterial large subunit ribosomal RNA", at positions 197 to 1505 of the family's 2925-position model. Lineage: Bacteria; Pseudomonadati; Pseudomonadota; Gammaproteobacteria; Vibrionales; Vibrionaceae. The record is from RNAcentral.
AACAUCUAAGUACCCCGAGGAAAAGAAAUCAACCGAGAUUCCGAAAGUAGCGGCGAGCGAAAUUGGACUAGCCCUUAAGCUUUACACGCGUUAGACGAACGGUCUGGAAAGUCCGACGAUACAGGGUGAUAGUCCCGUAGUUGACGACGUGUGUUCAGUGAAAUCGAGUAGGGCGGGACACGUGAUAUCCUGUCUGAAUAUGGGGGGACCAUCCUCCAAGGCUAAAUACUACUGACUGACCGAUAGUGAACCAGUACCGUGAGGGAAAGGCGAAAAGAACCCCUGUGAGGGGAGUGAAAUAGAACCUGAAACCGUGUACGUACAAGCAGUAGGAGCACCUUCGUGGUGUGACUGCGUACCUUUUGUAUAAUGGGUCAGCGACUUAUAUUCAGUGGCAAGGUUAACCAUCUAGGGGAGCCGUAGGGAAACCGAGUCUUAACUGGGCGUUCAGUCUCUGGAUAUAGACCCGAAACCAGGUGAUCUAGCCAUGGGCAGGUUGAAGGUUGAGUAACAUCAACUGGAGGACCGAACCGACUAAUGUUGAAAAAUUAGCGGAUGACUUGUGGCUAGGGGUGAAAGGCCAAUCAAACCUGGAGAUAGCUGGUUCUCCCCGAAAGCUAUUUAGGUAGCGCCUCGGACGAAUACUACUGGGGGUAGAGCACUGUUAAGGCUAGGGGGUCAUCCCGACUUACCAACCCUUUGCAAACUCCGAAUACCAGUAAGUACUAUCCGGGAGACACACGGCGGGUGCUAACGUCCGUCGUGGAGAGGGAAACAACCCAGACCGCCAGCUAAGGUCCCAAAUUACUACUAAGUGGGAAACGAUGUGGGAAGGCUCAGACAGCCAGGAUGUUGGCUUAGAAGCAGCCAUCAUUUAAAGAAAGCGUAAUAGCUCACUGGUCGAGUCGGCCUGCGCGGAAGAUGUAACGGGGCUAAGUAGUAAACCGAAGCUGCGGCAAUAUACUUUUGUAUAUUGGGUAGGGGAGCGUUCUGUAAGCGGUUGAAGGUGUGUGGUAACGCAUGCUGGACGUAUCAGAAGUGCGAAUGCUGACAUGAGUAACGAUAAAGGGGGUGAAAAACCUCCUCGCCGGAAGACCAAGGGUUCCUGUCCAACGUUAAUCGGGGCAGGGUAAGUCGACCCCUAAGGCGAGGCCGAAAGGCGUAGUCGAUGGGAAACGGGUUAAUAUUCCCGUACUUCUUACAAUUGCGAUGGGGGGACGGAGAAGGCUAGGUGGGCCUGGCGACGGUUGU